Molecule: ribosomal RNA, 466 nt
Filed under: uncultured bacterium
Lineage: Bacteria
Description: partial 16S ribosomal RNA
Rfam family: Bacterial small subunit ribosomal RNA
Source: RNAcentral
CUACGGGCGGCACCAGUGGGGAAUAUUGGACAAUGGGGGAAACCCUGAUCCAGCAAUGCCGCGUGUGUGAAGAAGGCCUGCGGGUUGUAAAGCACUUUCGGUUGGGAGGACUGCUUCUAGCACUAAUAUUGUUGGAAGUUGACGUUACCUUCAGAAGAAGCACCGGCUAGCUCCGUGCCAGCAGCCGCGGUAAUACGGAGGGGUGCAAGCGUUAAUCGGAAUUACUGGGCGUAAAGCGCGCGUAGGCGGCUAGAUCAGUCGGGUGUGAAAGCCCCGGGCUUAACCUGGGAACUGCAUCCGAUACUGUCUAGCUUGAGUACAGGAGAGGAGAGUGGAAUUCCACAUGUAGCGGUGAAAUGCGUAGAUAUGUGGAGGAACACCAAUGGCGAAGGCAGCUCUCUGGCCUGAUACUGACGCUGAGGUGCGAAAGCGUGGGGAGCAAACAGGAUUAGAUACCCGUGUAGUC